GGAAGAUGGGGCAGGAAGGCAACGCUCUGAGCCAAUCCAGAGGGGCGAGCAAAGCACCCGUCCUGAAGGCCUAGAGGGUGCCCCCUGUGCCCCGCGGCUCCCCAGCACCUGCUUCUCGUUUCACAUCUUGAAGGUAGACAGUGCCUGUUUUACAAAUCUGGACGUCUUUAAGAAAUUUCCUCCCACCACCUCAUCUCAGAAAACCUAAAAGGAAGCACACUAUUCUGGAUGCUUGCAGAAGUCUUCCUGUUUGACUAGAGGAUGACAUGGAAACCCUGGAUCCUAGUCCUGCCUGUUCCCAAGCCAGUGAGGAAACUCCCGG
This 322-nucleotide long non-coding RNA is filed under the name Pan troglodytes (chimpanzee). Its description in RNAcentral is "long non-coding RNA NONPTRT006071". The record is from RNAcentral. Lineage: Eukaryota; Metazoa; Chordata; Mammalia; Primates; Hominidae.